RNAcentral lists this ribosomal RNA (484 nucleotides) under uncultured bacterium. Its description in RNAcentral is "partial 16S ribosomal RNA". It matches the Rfam family "Bacterial small subunit ribosomal RNA", at positions 30 to 507 of the family's 1533-position model. The record is from RNAcentral.
AUUGAACGCUGGCGGCAGGCCUAACACAUGCAAGUCGAGCGGAUGAAGGGAGCUUGCUCCUGGAUUCAGCGGCGGACGGGUGAGUAAUGCCUAGGAAUCUGCCUGGUAGUGGGGGAUAACGUCCGGAAACGGGCGCUAAUACCGCAUACGUCCUGAGGGAGAAAGUGGGGGAUCUUCGGACCUCACGCUAUCAGAUGAGCCUAGGUCGGAUUAGCUAGUUGGUGGGGUAAAGGCCUACCAAGGCGACGAUCCGUAACUGGUCUGAGAGGAUGAUCAGUCACACUGGAACUGAGACACGGUCCAGACUCCUACGGGAGGCAGCAGUGGGGAAUAUUGGACAAUGGGCGAAAGCCUGAUCCAGCCAUGCCGCGUGUGUGAAGAAGGUCUUCGGAUUGUAAAGCACUUUAAGUUGGGAUGAAGGGCAGUAAGUUAAUACCUUGCUGUUUUGACGUUACCAACAGAAUAAGCACCGGCUAACUUCGUG